RNAcentral lists this ribosomal RNA (1504 nucleotides) under metagenome. RNAcentral describes it as "bacterial SSU rRNA". It matches the Rfam family "Eukaryotic small subunit ribosomal RNA", at positions 373 to 1824 of the family's 1831-position model. The record is from RNAcentral.
GUGUUCAAAUCCGGAGAGGGAGCCUGAGAAAUAGCUACCACAUCUAAGGACGGCAGCAGGCACGAAAAUUAUCCACUGCUAAUUCAGCGAGAUAGUGACGAGAAAUAACGACCUUCGAACGAAGGGUACCAGUAAAAUGGUUUGGAAUGGCGGUAGAUCAAAAUUCUAUCAGAGUAACAAUUAGAGGAUUAGUCUGGUGCCAGCACCCGCGGUAAUUCCAGCUCUAAUAGUGUAUUUUAAAGUUGUUGCAGUUAAAACGCUCGUAGUCUAUCUAAAAGUUUACGCACCUUUUCGUUGCAGGAGUGAUAGCUAUCGUCAUUAGAAAUUUAGGUGAUGGUAACUGGAUCUUUUGCAGCUUCGGUAUCGGAGACUUUAAGUCAGUUCUAACUGGCUUGGGUCCGAGAUAUGGAUUGGUGACGUGAAUUUGAUUAUCAACUGUGAUCAAAUCAGAGAGAUUCAAUCAGGCAAUGAUGUUUGCAAAAACUUGCCCGAAUGGUUCAGCAUAGCACUGAAAUCAAGUCCCUUUUGGGACGAAACGAAUGGAAGAUAGGGAAAGGGAACAAGUAUUGUCUCGCCAGAGGUGAAAUUCAGAGAACGUGCCAAGACUAGCAGACGCGAAAGCGGUGUCCCGUCACAUCUUCGUCGAUCAGGAACGAAAGUUGGGGGAGCGAAAAUGAUUAGAUACCGUUGUAGUCCCAACCGUAAACUAUAUUGACAAGGGAUUGGCUUGAAACCUUUUUUCCAGAUCUCCUCAGAAUCUAAAGGAAACUGAAAGUUUUUGAAUUCUGGGGGGAGUAUGGUCGCAAGGCUGAAACUUAAAAGAAUUGACGGAAGAGCACCACCAGGAGUGGAAUUUGCGGCUUAAUUCGACCCAACACGGGAAAACUCACCAAGUCCGGAUAUUUUGUGGGAUUGACAGAACAAAGUUCUUUCAUGACAAGUAAGUGGUGGUGCAUGGCCGUUCUUAGUUCGUGGAGCGAUUUGUCAGGUUUAUUCCGAUAACGAACGAGACCUUAAUCUACUAAUUAGCUGCCAGCCUGUAAAAUGGUUAGUUUGUAACAAAACUGGUGUAGUGCGUAGCAAUACGUCGUUUCUUAGAGAGACAAUGUGCGUUUUAAAAAAUUAGCACAGGGAGGUUUAAGGCAAUAACAGGUCUGUGAUGCCCUUCGAUGUUUUGGGCAGCACGCGUAUUACAAUAUUAAUUUCAACAAGCAUAUCAUCCGCCUUCUCUAAUUCAAAAAAGAGUGGGAAAACUGAGAAUUAUUAAUGUGACUGGGAUAGCUGCUUGUAAUUGCAUCUUGAACGAGGAAUUCCUAGUAAACGUAAGUCAUCAACUUGCAUUGAUUACGUCCCUGCUCUUUGUACACACCGCCCGUCGCUCCUACCAAUGGAACAAAAUGGUGAAUUUGAAGGACUUGUCGUAAGGUAGGAAAUUUAGCUAAACCUUUUCGUUUGUAGGAAGGAGAAGUCGUAACAAGGUCUCCGUAGGUGAACCUGCGGAGGG